This 396-nucleotide ribosomal RNA is filed under the name uncultured bacterium. RNAcentral describes it as "bacterial SSU rRNA". It matches the Rfam family "Bacterial small subunit ribosomal RNA", at positions 362 to 775 of the family's 1533-position model. The record is from RNAcentral.
UAUUGCACAAUGCAGGAAACCCUGAUGCAGCGACGCCGCGCGAGCGAUGAAGUGUUUCGGUAUGUAAAGCUCUACCAGCAGGGAAGAANAUGACGGUACCUGACUAAGAAGCCCCGGCUAACUACGUGCCAGCAGCCGCGGUAAUACGUAGGGGGCAAGCGUUAUCCGGAUUUACUGGGUGUAAAGGGAGCGUAGACGGCUGUGCAAGCCAGAUGUGAAAGCCCGGGGCUCAACCCCGGGACUGCAUUUGGAACUGCGUGGCUUGAGUGUCGGAGAGGCAGGCGGAAUUCCUAGUGUAGCGGUGAAAUGCGUAGAUAUUAGGAGGAACACCAGUGGCGAAGGCGGCCUGCUGGACGAUGACUGACGUUGAGGCUCGAAAGCGUGGGGAGCAAACAG